Molecule: ribosomal RNA, 246 nt
Filed under: uncultured bacterium
Lineage: Bacteria
Description: partial small subunit ribosomal RNA
Rfam family: Bacterial small subunit ribosomal RNA
Source: RNAcentral
AGAAUCAACGCUGGCGGCGUGCCUAACACAUGCAAGUCGCACGAGAAAGGGUAGCAAUACCUGAGUACAGUGGCGCACGGGUGAGUAACACGUGACUAACCUACCCUCGAGUGGGGAAUAACCUGGGGAAACCCGGGCUAAUACCGCAUAACACUUACGAGUCAAAGCAGCAAUGCGCUUGAGGAGGGGGUCGCGGCCGAUUAGCUAGUUGGCGGGGUAAUGGGCCCACCAAGGCAAUGAUCGGUA